RNAcentral lists this ribosomal RNA (425 nucleotides) under uncultured bacterium. RNAcentral's name for it is "bacterial SSU rRNA". It matches the Rfam family "Bacterial small subunit ribosomal RNA", at positions 356 to 773 of the family's 1533-position model. The record is from RNAcentral.
GGGGAAUAUUGGACAAUGGGCGAAAGCCUGAUCCAGCAAUGCCGCGUGUGUGAAGAAGGCCUUAGGGUUGUAAAGCACUUUCAGCAGGGAGGAAAAGCAUGGGGAUAAUACCUCCAUGUCUUGACGUAACCUGCAGAAGAAGCACCGGCUAACUCCGUGCCAGCAGCCGCGGUAAUACGGAGGGUGCGAGCGUUAAUCGGAAUUACUGGGCGUAAAGCGCGCGUAGGCGGUUUGAGGAGUCGGGUGUGAAAGCCCCGGGCUUAACCUGGGAAUUGCAUUCGAUACUGUCAGGCUAGAGUAUGGUAGAGGAAAGCGGAAUUCCACAUGUAGCGGUGAAAUGCGUAGAUAUGUGGAGGAACACCAGUGGCGAAGGCGGCUUUCUGGACCAAUACUGACGCUGAGGUGCGAAAGCGUGGGGAGCAAAC